Molecule: long non-coding RNA, 473 nt
Organism: Aethalodelphis obliquidens (Pacific white-sided dolphin)
Lineage: Eukaryota; Metazoa; Chordata; Mammalia; Artiodactyla; Delphinidae
Exons: 2
Source: RefSeq, a predicted model, not a curated record
CCCGGGCUGCCCUCUGUCUCAGGGGACAGCCCCUGACUCUGUCCUUGCAGGAGCUGCAGCCUGGUACUUCCCUGUAGACCACCACUUCAGCCCCACACCAACUCCUGUCCUCUGGACCUCCCCAAUCACGUCCAAGGCCAGCCUCCCCUCUGUCUCAGAAGCCGCUGCCCCGGGCCAGGCUGCCAUCACUCUCCUGGGACCUUGAUACCGCUCCUGUACCCACUCUUGUCCCCUACAGCCCAAGUGAACUUUACGGAUCUGAUCUCCUCACUCUGCUCUAUAAAACUUCCAAAGCUUCCAGUCGCCUCUAGGACAAGGGCCUUGGUCGGCCACACUGAUCCUCUCUUGGGCCUUCAGUAUUUGCCAAGUGCCGGGCACACGUGGGCUCCGUGUUCCACAUUGCCUCCUCACUGCAAGAGGUACACUUAUGAUUAUGGGUUUUCAGAAGAAGAAAGCGGCUCAGAGCAGAGAAG